RNAcentral lists this transfer RNA (139 nucleotides) under Phaeosphaeriaceae sp. SRC1lsM3a. Its description in RNAcentral is "Stagonospora sp. SRC1lsM3a tRNA". It matches the Rfam family "tRNA". From Rfam's summary of the family: Transfer RNA (tRNA) molecules are approximately 80 nucleotides in length. Their secondary structure includes four short double-helical elements and three loops (D, anti-codon, and T loops). The record is from Rfam by way of RNAcentral. Lineage: Eukaryota; Fungi; Ascomycota; Dothideomycetes; Pleosporales; Phaeosphaeriaceae.
GGCAAGAUGGCCGAGCGGUCUAAGGCGCUAGCUUCAGGUGCUAGUAGAGAAAUCUGCGUGGGUGUAUGUUUAAUCCUUCAUCAAGACGGCGAUUCGAGACUUUGUACUGACAUGAUUUAGUCGAAUCCCACUCUUGUCA